RNAcentral lists this long non-coding RNA (1301 nucleotides) under Homo sapiens (human). RNAcentral describes it as "non-protein coding lnc-LRRC56-1:6". Lineage: Eukaryota; Metazoa; Chordata; Mammalia; Primates; Hominidae. The record is from RNAcentral.
ACUCGCCCGCGCAGCAACGGCCUCAAUAGCGCCAGGCCCGCGUCUACAAGAAGCCCGACCAAGGCCGGCGUGGGCGAGGCCUGGCUAGACGCUGACGCACCGCUGGAGCUACUGACCUCGGGACGACUGGCGGACGGUCGCGGGCCUGGAGACCCAGAGCGAGACGGCCUACUUCGUUCUCGAGCCAGCAGAACGGGUUGAACGUGUCGACAACCCCACCCGCCAGUCAGCGGCGCGGGCGUGUUCGAGCCGGCUCGUGGGCGUGGUCAGGCCUCCCUGGAUGGAUGUUGGGAGAGUUUACGCGUGGCCUUGUGGGAUCGCUGUGGCGGACUCUCAGCUAUCAGAGGGCUCCAUCACUCCAUCGUAAGGAGGCAGCUGGUGGCGAGUCCUGAGCAGGGAUGUGAUCCGACGGGCAGGCGGCGCCCGGGACAGAAGCUGACGUCACACAGCCACCCCAUGACGUCACCGGUGCCAAGUGCCGGCUGUGUGCGGAGCAGUUGGAGACACAGUGGGUGUCCGAGGGGGGGCUCUGCGUCCGGAGGUGAGAGGUGGGUCUCAACACAGCUGCCCUCCCCCAUGGUAUGGUGACAGUCACUAACAGGUGGCCUGCGCUGGCCUCCACGUGGCUGCCAAGGGCCAUCCCUGAGCACUCAGCGGGUGCCUGUUCCACACGGACUAUGAAAAUGACUGUCUCGUUCACCUCACGGCGACCCCGUGGGGUGGAUACGAACUCACGCCAUUUGACAGGCGAGACGUCCGAGGUCAGAGGGGAGGAGACGGACCCGACCUUCCUUGGCUGUGCUCUCCAGCCCUGUCCUGUGCUGGACCCAACCUAACCUCUGCAGCCUCCCUGCCCUGGACACAAAUCUGGCUGAGACCCCAGACCCUGAUGGGGCAGAGCCUGGCACUGGAGGAGCCACCAGGAUGGGCCCCUGUGGGUGUGGGCAGAGGGUGAUCCUCAGUUCAGGUUUUUGCCAGAAGAUGGGUUCCUGCAGGAGGGGGUCUCAGCAGCUCAGACUUCAGAUGCGCUCACUGCUGCUCACUGUGGGACAGCCAGACACGGAGCCCUCUGUUCUCCAGCAGUUGUGGACAAUGAGGGAUCCCUGGAGGGAUGCCUGGUGGGCAGCAGGAGUCCCUCUUGUGGGUCAGGGUGCGGGGAUGGGCUCUCCCUGCAGGGACUUCCCAGUCUUGUCCUCUGGGAUUGGCAGUUUGCAGGGGUAUCCUCGGCAUCAGACCAGGGGGGCCACACAGGGACCCAGAUCUAUGGGGCCCAGCCCCGGGAAGACCAGAUGGGCUCAGUG